UUUUCUCAAACGAUGGAGUGAAGUGCGCUUCACAUCGGGCUUAAGUAAACCGCAACAAUAUGAAGAAGUGAACCACAUUACUUUUCUUUUUAUUGAUUUAACAUUUUUCUGCAGUUCACAUUGAAAGUAAGUGGAUCGCAUGGACAGAGCAAGUAAAUUACAUGUAACAAGAAGUGAGCUUCUUUUGAGUUAUUUUUGUAUCCUCUUUGACCAAGUGAACCACAUACUCUUUUAAUUCAUUUUUCAUUAUCACAUUUUGUUGUCACACAUGAUCACAUAGUGAGCUGCAUAAGGAAUAUGAAAAUGCAACAAACUGAAAUAAUAGACUGCAAAAAAGGAGCCAAACUAUGUUCAAAUUUUGAAACGAACUAAUCUUCCAUGCACCCGGCUGCACCAAACUGCAGGUAAACUGGCAGCCAAAUCUGAAAAAAAAAUAGUUUCUUGAGUGCAUGGAGUGGCCGCAAGCAUUAAAAUCAUGGGGAGCCACCGCUCAUGGGCUCAGGAACCUAGUGAAGCUCCAUUCACGCGAGCGUACUGCAUGACACGACUUGCCGAACGGGCCGACGCUAUGCAGGAACUUUUGCAUAUAUUAUAUUCCACGGUUAACUGCAAAACAAAAUAUAGUGAGCUUCAAGGAAAAACAAACGAACUGCAAUAGUUGAGUGCACAUCCACCGGCGAGCAGCGGAGCAAGAUAACAUUGACUGAGAAUGGAUCCGGGGUUCUUUCCCCGGAUCGAUCCCAU
Molecule: long non-coding RNA, 744 nt
Filed under: Hordeum vulgare
Lineage: Eukaryota; Viridiplantae; Streptophyta; Magnoliopsida; Poales; Poaceae
Description: long non-coding RNA (HVUL_LNC015152)
Source: RNAcentral